CAACAACGCCGAUGUACCCAGGAGCUUGGUCGGCAGCCGCCAUUUUGGUUGCUGAUUGUGGGUAGCUUGCGGUCACCGGAGCUUGUCAGAGCCUGUGACCUUGUGUGAUGUGGACCGGGAUGACCACCACCGGUCCAAGGGGGUGGGGGGGAGAACGUGGGCUCUGCGGUAGGUCAGCCGGGUAUAAAGGUGGCGGGAGAGCGGCUGUCUCUCCC
Molecule: non-coding RNA, 215 nt
Organism: Pelobates cultripes (western spadefoot toad)
Lineage: Eukaryota; Metazoa; Chordata; Amphibia; Anura; Pelobatidae
Source: the annotation of a GenBank genome assembly